RNAcentral lists this ribosomal RNA (253 nucleotides) under uncultured bacterium. Its description in RNAcentral is "partial 16S ribosomal RNA". It matches the Rfam family "Bacterial small subunit ribosomal RNA", at positions 524 to 776 of the family's 1533-position model. The record is from RNAcentral.
GACGUAGGAUGCAAGCAUUGUCCGGAUUUAUUGGGCGUAAAGAGUUCGUAGGUGGUUUGUUAAGUCUGAUGUUAAAGACCGGAGCUCAACUUCGGAACUGCAUUGGAUACUGGCAGACUAGAGUAUGUUAGAGGCAAGCGGAAUUCCCAGUGUAGCGGUGAAAUGCGUAGAUAUUGGGAAGAACACCGGUGGCGUAAGCGGCUUGCUGGGACAUAACUGACACUGAGGAACGAAAGCCAGGGGAGCGAAUGGG